UACGUAGGGUGCGAGCGUUAAUCGGAAUUACUGGGCGUAAAGCGUGCGCAGGCGGUUCGUUGUGUCGGCGGUGAAAGCCCCGGGCUUAACCUGGGAAUGGCCGUUGAAACUGGCGAACUGGAGUGUGGCAGAGGGGGGUGGAAUUCCGGCGUGUAGCAGUGAAAUGCGUAGAGAUGCGGAGGAACAUCCAUGGCGAAGGCAGCUACCUGGACCAACACUGACACUGAGGCACGAAAGCGUGGGGAGCAAACAGG
RNAcentral lists this ribosomal RNA (254 nucleotides) under uncultured bacterium. RNAcentral's name for it is "partial 16S ribosomal RNA". It matches the Rfam family "Bacterial small subunit ribosomal RNA", at positions 524 to 776 of the family's 1533-position model. The record is from RNAcentral.